This 2976-nucleotide long non-coding RNA is filed under the name Lytechinus variegatus (green sea urchin). RNAcentral describes it as "uncharacterized LOC121414049". Lineage: Eukaryota; Metazoa; Echinodermata; Echinoidea; Temnopleuroida; Toxopneustidae. The record is from RNAcentral.
GUCGCGCGCCCUGCCGUUAAAUGCUCGAAUAUGCCUGCAUGCCGUACGUCAGAACGGUCUAUCGCUAGCCGCGCGCCGAGGCAUGAGCUAGCUAGCUAGCUGACGCCAUAUGCCGCACACCCGCGCACGUGCGUAUACCGCAUGGUAUACUACACUCACGCGGCCAUUUUACCUGAUUCAAACGUUGUCACCUCUCACUCACGAAAUUGCCUGUUCCAAUUCAUCUUUCUGCGCUCGUAUUCCUCGAUAGCUCUUUGCAGAUCAAUCAGAUGAGACGAUUUUUGGUCUACUGGAAACGGCACUUCAAAAAUUAGACCGUCAUGAGCAGCUGCUCCUGGAAAUUGCAAGGAGGCAGGCGGGGGCAGGGCCAGUACAAGCUGACUCGGAAGAAAAUGAUGCUGUGGAUCUUCCACGCUUGCCAUGUGAGUCACGGGAGGAUCUCCAGGAGCUUAACACACUCCUGGAGAAUUCUGGAGCUGCCCGCAAAAAACUGAUCAGGAUCAUCAGCCUUGUAGGAGGUACUGGAGCCAUAGUGGUCAAUAAUACUUUGAAAUCCAUUGUGGGACACAAUGUCAGUAAGACAUUUAACAUGAUCGGGACGAAGGGAAAGGAGUCGUUUGCGGCUCUGCAAAGCAUCAACUCCGUUAUCAAAAAGGGUGUCCGUGCUAACCGUGGCAUGAAAGAGACGACGGACAAGGACAUUGCGUCAUGGUGUGGACGAUGGUUCACGAACGCGAGAGAUCGCAAAGGAGACCGGCUGGCCAGGAGGCUGGCGAAGCCGCAAAUUGCAGAAGAUGUGCUACCUGUAGAAGAUGUGCUACUUGUAGAAGAGGAGAUUGUGGGAGCAGAUUCCGACUGAACAAAGAUUUAGAAAUGAAGUUUAUAAAGAAAGAGUAUAAAUUUCUCUACAGAUUGGAGCUAAAAUGAUAUAAUUGGAUAAGAAAUUUAAAAAAAUUUCAGGCAUUUUGAAAUUUUACAUAUUUCCAUGUCAUAACUAAUUAUUUUGAUCCAGUUUUCAUAACUUUUGCUCCAAAAUGGUAGACAUGUUUUAACUAUUACUUUUAUGAGUAUGUAAAAUCUGGACUGGGCAUGUUUUUAAGUGCCUUUCCUAUUUGAAUUAAAAAAAAAAAAAAACAUGAAAUGGCAAAACCUUUUUGUUCAUGUCCAUCUACUACUUUUAGUGAAAUCUUAUUUUUAGAAAAAAAAAAGAUAACAAUUUUCAAACUUGCCUAAAAAAAUGUACUUGCCACAAAAUAGUGCCUAUGACUUUCAGUGCUUCACAUUUUACUCGAGAGUAAACUGUUACUUGCCAAGUAACAAAAAAAAAGGAAAAGAAAAAAAAUGUUCACUUCUUGCCCAAAGAAUUAAGUGGGCAAUUAUUGAGAACAGAGAUAAAUGAUUUUCAACAAAUCACAGUACUGCCAUUCCAUUCUUGCUCUAUUUGUUUUGCAAUAUUUACAGGGUAUUUUUAUUACCAAAAAUUUCAUGAAAUUAGGCUAAACAACUCAUGUUGCCAGAAUUCCAUCACAGCUCGAUCUUAUUUUCAUUGUAAGACAGAUUUUGGAGCUAAAUGUAUAUAUAUCUUUUUUCGUGUUUUCAGCACACAUUGGCUAUAAGGUGGUACAGUCUACCCAUGUUGUACAAGCAUGAAUAAAUUUCGUUAUAACAAAGUUAUUUUCCAGGAUCCAAUUCGUGCAAAGGUAUAUGUAUGUGUUCACUGUCCUGUAUAUUAUAGCAAGUCAAUUACCUUGUUGAAAUGUGGUACUUGGCUUAGUCCCAAGUGCUUCGUCCUAUAGGGAGUAGACUGUACUUUGUUAAUAUUCCACCAGCUAUAAGUUUUUGUGUUUUUUUUUUACAUCAAAAAGUGUUUUUUUUUUUCUGAAGUAGGUUAAAAUGGUCGUCAGCAGUUUCAUUUGCUGUGAGAAACAUUGUGUACGCUGAUGUGAUACACUUCAAUUGUGAUACCAUAUCGCUAAAUGUGAACUACGCAUGUUCUUUGGGGAUAACUGCAGUGCACUCUUUCAAACAUGGCUGCACAAACUUUUCCGACUUGAAAUACUACAGGAAACUAGGCAUAUGCACUGAAAUCUACACUUUGUGCGGAUACAUGACAACCUUGUGAUUUUGUUUUAAAAAAUAUUUCCUGUGCCAUCUUUGGCAGCAGAAAUAUUAUGCACAUUGUACCUUAAAUACAUUUUAGGUACCAUCAUUUCUCCAAGAAGUUUAGUUACAUAAUUUACAGAUGAGAAUACUUUCUACAUCAUUUUCUAUUUUAGUUCUUGAGUAUUACCACAUAUGUGGUUAAUUAUGAAUGCUGGGUUAACUGGUCAGUUACUUACAGUAACAAAUUUUUGGUUUUUUCAUUUAAGUUGGUGCUCAGGAAUUUGUAUGUCGAUUUUAUUUCUUGAUGGGGAAUAAUACUCGACAACCUUUUUUUUUUUAGUAAAUUGUUGUGUUGACUUCACUGUUGUCCCACUAUUAGUUAUCUGUAGCUUUUACAAUGCUAACUUUUCAACUAUGCACAUAAGUUUUAGUAAUUUGUAUAACCUGUAGUUAAUAUCUUUCAUGUAUUUUUUUUUAUCUUAGUUGUAGAAUAUUUUUAGAUAAGUGCCUAAUUGCUGUUUGUUUGCCAAUUUAUGCUGCAGGUAUUUACGAUACCUUCUGUACUUGUAUUCAUAUGCUGAAAGUUCUUAUUAUCCAACAGUUGUGUGAGGAAAAGAAGUGUGCUUACAUGGUAUUUGCAAUAUUUAAAAACUGUCUUUCUCAUGUUGUAUUCCAUGGGUAUCGCUGGCUGUAACGAACCCAUCAUUUUUCAGGUAUUCAGGUAUUCCAGAUAUUAGCUUUGUUAUUGUGAUAAGCCCAAUGACUGCUCGAUGACAAUGUUUAUCAUUCUAAGAAAGACGAUCUGAUUGGAUUUUAGAGUGUGUAGGUCUAAGGUUAAGGGUCACAGAGGUUAAGUUGGGAAAUUUGCCUUGA